RNAcentral lists this transfer-messenger RNA (347 nucleotides) under Elusimicrobiaceae. Its description in RNAcentral is "UBA1436 sp002159705 Standard tmRNA". It matches the Rfam family "transfer-messenger RNA". From Rfam's summary of the family: Bacterial tmRNA, also known as 10Sa RNA or SsrA, is named for its dual tRNA and mRNA-like properties. Its role is to liberate the mRNA from a stalled ribosome. To accomplish this part of the tmRNA is used as a reading frame that ends in a translation stop signal. Lineage: Bacteria; Pseudomonadati; Elusimicrobiota; Elusimicrobia; Elusimicrobiales. The record is from RNAcentral.
GGGGGUGUAAUAGAUUCGACGGGUAUCUGUUGCCGCCCGGGAGCAAGUGCCGGUUGGCCAGGCCGGCUAAAAUAGGGCCAAAAAAAUAACUAACGACAAUCAAGUCGCUUGGGCUAACGCUUAGUCCCACCGUGCCUUUGGUGUCUUCCAUACGCUAAGGGAUCACGGUUAUUAUAUGGAAUGCGGCAAAGCGGGCGCGGUUCGUCCGGCUUUGCCUAAGACCCACGAACCAAACCGCAGGCGUGCCGCUUCGCGCUUAGCCGGCGGUUACAAAAGCGAAGCUAAACUUGUAGCGCCCGGUUGGAGAAGAUGUUCGGACGGGGGUGCGAAUCCCCCCACCUCCACUG